Molecule: long non-coding RNA, 3627 nt
Organism: Falco peregrinus (peregrine falcon)
Lineage: Eukaryota; Metazoa; Chordata; Aves; Falconiformes; Falconidae
Exons: 4
Source: RefSeq, a predicted model, not a curated record
CUCCUUCAUUAGUCCCUUUGAAACUGCUCUGCGUAGGCUUCCUGCAUUUAACAAGAUAGAGGAUGCAGUUCAGGACUAAUUAAUUUAGUCACUCAUCUUUUGUAUUCUAUUUGUAGUUACAGCGGGUUGUUAGGCGAGGAAGAGACAGCUUCCUAGUAUUAGAUCUUUCUGGUGUCGACUGUGAGCUGAAUACAGUGGGUGCUUGCAUUGUCAUUCUACCUUAUUGACUCCACUGUCAUUGCAAAAUACUAAUUUGGUUUGGUACUUAAUCAUUUUAAAUCUUCACAUUUCCAAGCAUUUAAUGCAGAUUAACGAUUAAGAUGCUUCUCAGGGAGAGGUGUGUUGUGUCAUCCCUGGGUUUUUAGAUGAGAAAAAACUGUGUGCUUUGUGUGGGUGUUCAAGUAUUUCAUCUGCCCCAGGCUCGCUAUAAGAUUAGGGCCUCAGAGCUAAAAAUGACUUGCUCAAGGCCACGCAGAAUAAACUAAUCCCCUGACUCCCUUGCUCUGCUUUAAUCAUUUGUUUUCUUAGCACAGCGUGAUUUCAAAUGGAGCCUUACGAGGUUUGACCGAGAUAGAGCAGAUAAAGGCUGAGAGGCAGCAGAUCCUUGGAUAUCUCAGUAAUUAAAACAAUGGGCUUUUUAACAUUUUUGAAAAAAAAUAUAUAAAUAUAUAUUACAUACAAAUUAUAUUUUUAAUCGAUAAUAUAGAUGUAUUUACAAGGCUGUAUAGGGCUUUGGUUUUGUCUUGAAAGGCUGUCAUGAAGAUGACCCACUUUUUUUUCCACUUUUUUUUCCCCCCCCAGCAGGAUUCAGUCUAGGAUUUGAGAGCCCUGAAGAUGCUUCUUUUGUGGACAAGGGCACUAAUGAAAGAAUAAGAGCUGAUUAUCUUCCUGCAUGCAAAGGGAAGGCCCUGCAAUUGCAGCUCUGAUGGUGCUCUUCGCAGUGGCGUGGGCACAGUCCCAGGGUAUCUUAGCUCUGAAGUCAGGCACGAGAGCGGCCGCGUAACCUCCUGUUCUGCGGGGGUUUGCUGGAGCGCAGCUGUGUAAGUGUUUGCUCGGGUUUUUGUCUUUCGCUCCUGAUCUUUUUCUGCGGCCUCUGGUCUUUCUUGCCUUGCGCAUCCCUCUAGAUGAAGCAUCGCACUCGCGCUUUGGAAGGAGUGGGUGCUGCCGUUUGUGGAGCAGAUCCUGCUGGAUCUCUACUCCCAUAAAGUGACUGAGAGAGUAUUGGAGAAACCCAUUAUUCACAACGCGGAGACUCGGCAAAUAAAUCAAGCUGCAGCGGCGAACAGGGUGGGAGGGACGGGCCAGCAGCCUUCACCGCAGCGCUCGGAAGUGCCGUGUUUCUUCUCAGGUGCGGUGGUUCUGGAAGCGCUGAGGCGGUGGCCCGGCGGCCUGCGGGCGCGCUCCGACGGGCAGCCGCAGAGCCGCUGGUAGCGGAGCGCUGACGGCGGGAAGGGCGCUGAGCGCAGCCAGGUUAAUUAGUAAUAAACCGACUCGCCCGUCGCCUCCCCGGGCGGCCGUUUGGCCGGGGAUGCCGAAGGACUCUCGGGGACCGGACCGGGCGCGCCCCCGGCGCCCCCUUCUCUCCCGGGAGCGCGCCUGCCCAUGCCCGCCCAGGGCGCGCGCCCCGCUCCUGAUUGGCCGAGCCCCCUCCUCAGGCGCUGGCCGCCAUUUUGGCCUCCCGCCGCCUCGGGGGGGGCAGACAUGUUCUUCCCCGUACCCCCCCACGCCGCCGCCCGCCGCCGCGCCGAGGGAGCAGCCGGUGUGGGUAGCGGCGGGCGUCUGCGCCGCGGGAAGGCCGCUAAGUGCUGUUGUAAAAUGCAAAUUGAACAUGAGAAACAGAAGAUGCUACCGAGCUUUUAUAAAAACAGAUGACGCUUCAUCUACAGUAUCCCUGUUGAGCAGCAGCUAUUAAACCAAGAAUAGCGUUACCACCCACUUCUUGAAGAUACCUGAAAUUGCUGUACAGAGUGGGGUAAGCAUAGUAGAGUAAGCUUAACUCAUGUUUCUUAUAAAUAACAUCCUACUGAUAAACGGGGUCAUGCUGUCCUUAAGUGAAGUGGGAUUGACAUCUGAAAAGGCUAUCCAGGCUUCGGUUGCCUGGGCAUGUUGUCACUCCCCCACCCCACCCCCCUUUUAUUUAAAUGCAAAGACUCUAUUACGUAGUAUCUGUCUAAGGCUUGCAAUGAUUGAUAUCCUGCGGUACAGGCGUUGCUUGAAUGAUUCGCUGUGAGACAGUCUGUGGAGCUGUGGUGGUAGUGUAGACAAACCUUGUUUUUCUCCAGGAGGUUACUCCCCUGGGAAGGGAAGCCUGUUGGUUACAGUUCACCGGUACAGCCGCUCUCUGACUCCUGCAAGCAUACCAAGGCAUCGGAAGGCACAGGAUCAAUGCAAAAAAGCAAGGAACAUCUGUACAAUGGUGCUGCAAUGCUGUACCUCCCAGCAUCACUCUCUUGCAAAGUUAGAUCCUUAAGACAGUAAAUUAGUAAGAACUACCUCAACUGAUUAAAUGUAUGUGUAUUGUUUAGAGAGAACACUUUACGACUGUUUCUUGAUCACUGAGAAUCUUAAGAACAUCACAAUCUAAAACGGUCUACUUCAGAUUUGAAAAAAUGUUUCUCAAAAAGUUGACAAAAGUGCCUGGUUUUUAGUCAGCACAAAGCCACAGAACUGAUUUAAAAGUAAUUCAGACCUUAUUAGUUUUACUGUAAAUAAUGUAACAUUGUUUGGCAGUAGAUUUACGAUUAGAUCCCACACAGUGUCAAAUUCAGCUCCUGCAACUGAUACUUGGUGAAGUUGAUAUCAAAUUGUAAAUUACAUUGUUAGGAAAGCUAUUAAAAAUACUGUACCUUAUAUUUAAUCUUACUAGUGAGAAAUAGCUGCUGGGCAGCACACAAAUUGCUACUGAUACUGUUUGGUUUUUUUAAAAAGGUUAAUAAAAUACAAGCAAGGUAGAAAAUAGGAUUAAAAGCACUGUUUCAGGUACAAGUUUUUCUGAACUGGGUGAGAGAUAAGAAACCAGAAAAACACACUGCACAUAUGUGCACCCUCUGUAUAAAGAGAAACGUACAAAGUGGGAAACUGGUGGUGCACUGGGAUAGUACACUGAAGUCUCUGAUGCUGUAAACUUGAAUUCCGAAUUUUAUCAAAAAGGGGAAUUGAGUCUGGUUCCAUUUUUGAGUCCCCGUGGGUUACACUUGCAGACUACCCCGUGGUUUGGCACAGUACACUUGGAAGAGGCAGUCUCUGCUGAAGGGACGCUAGGACUGGAAGAGGAGGCGUAAAACAUGUCAAGACCGGGUGCAGUGGGAGAGCGUGAGCAGUGGUCUACUACCUACUGGGAAUUAGCCAGCGCUGUUGGCCUGGUACUUUCAAUACUGGGCUGUGACCAGCGAGCUGGCUGCCUGCAGAAAGACUGAGACAAGCUGGCCACGUACCCUUUUCAGUAGCGCUUGGAGUUUCCUGUCCUAUGGGCCUGUCCAGGACCAAUUCGACAUGGGUCUUUGUAGUGUGUAAACAGAGAAUGCUGUUGCUCCAGCUUGUCCUCUGCAGGGAAAGAAGGAGCCCAAGAAAAGGCGCAUCAGCUACAUGUUGUGAACCUGUGGAUAACUGCGUGUUCUGCCCCAGCAG